Molecule: ribosomal RNA, 267 nt
Filed under: uncultured bacterium
Lineage: Bacteria
Description: partial 16S ribosomal RNA
Rfam family: Bacterial small subunit ribosomal RNA
Source: RNAcentral
GUCCUAGCCCUAAACGGUGCGCAUUUGCUGUAGGAGGAAUCGACCCCUUCUGUGGCGAAGCUAACGCGAUAAAUGCGCCGCCUGGGGAGUACGGUCGCAAGAUUAAAACUCAAAGAAAUUGACGGGGGCCUGCACAAGCGGUGGAGUAUGUGGCUUAAUUCGAUGCAACGCGAAGAACCUUACCUGGCCUUGACAUGCAAGUGGUAGAACCAUGAAAGUGGGACGACCCCGCAAGGGGAGCUUGCACAGGUGCUGCAUGGCUGUCGU